RNAcentral lists this long non-coding RNA (367 nucleotides) under Trifolium pratense (red clover). Its description in RNAcentral is "long non-coding RNA (TPRA_LNC004830)". Lineage: Eukaryota; Viridiplantae; Streptophyta; Magnoliopsida; Fabales; Fabaceae. The record is from RNAcentral.
UCAAAGAGUCUCAAUAAGAAAUUUUUAAGGAACGGGUACUCAUCUUCAUCCUUAGAUCAUUAACCCUAGCCCCAAAAUUAUACCCAAUCACAUUUGUUAAAGCUUACUUUGGAAGGAGCAAGUAUCAUUAAGGUUGUUUGGUUUCUAAUUGAAAUUUGGUGAUUUUAAAAAAUUAAAAGUGGAAGAAGGAAAGGUUGGAGAAGUGAGAACAGGGGUAUACUGACCGAGGGAGAGAAAUACGCAGGGAGAGAGAAAGAAUGUAGUGAAAUGGGUGUGAUGUGGGUUUCUUAUGUUUAUGUUUAUUUAUUAUUAUUAUUUAUUUAUUUUAAUUUCAUUUGUUAUUAUUUAAGUGAAACGGUGCGUUUCA